RNAcentral lists this unclassified non-coding RNA (217 nucleotides) under Hevea brasiliensis (rubber tree). Lineage: Eukaryota; Viridiplantae; Streptophyta; Magnoliopsida; Malpighiales; Euphorbiaceae. The record is from RNAcentral.
AGACAGGUUGUAUGCUAUGAUGUAGUAAGGCAGGAAUAAGUGCGGUGGUCAGUGAAGGUGGAGUGAGUGAGUGUAAGAGAUAGGUGUGGAAUGGCUUUAUGAGGCAUAGAAGUUGAGAGGAGCUAGUGGUCGCGGAGUGGGGAGGUAGAAGAUGAACCACUGUGUUAUUGGUGGAAGUGGUAUCAAUUUUGCUGUAAAUGAUUUUUCUUUAUCUUUU